AACGAACGCUGGCGGCAUGCCUAACACAUGCAAGUCGAACGAGACCUUCGGGUCUAGUGGCGCACGGGUGCGUACCGCGUGGGAACUUGCCCUUGGGUUCGGAAUACCUCCCCGAAGGGGGUCUUAAUACCGGUUAAGCUCUUCGGACCAAAGAUUUACCGCUUUUGGAUGGGCCCUCGUUGGAUUAGCUGGUUGGUAGGGUAAAAGCCUAUCAAGGCGACGAUCCUUAGCUGGUCUGAGAGGAUGAUCAGCCACACUGGGACUGAGACACGGACCAGACUCCUACGGGAGGGAGCAGAGGGGAAUAUUGGACGAUGAGCGAAAGCCUGAUACAGCAAUGCCGCGUGAGUGAUGAAGGCGUUAGGGUUGUAAAGCUCUUUUAGCCGGGAUGAUAAUGACAGUACCGGGAGAAUAAGCACCGGCUAACUACGUG
RNAcentral lists this ribosomal RNA (433 nucleotides) under uncultured bacterium. Its description in RNAcentral is "partial 16S ribosomal RNA". It matches the Rfam family "Bacterial small subunit ribosomal RNA", at positions 29 to 507 of the family's 1533-position model. The record is from RNAcentral.